Long non-coding RNA from Drosophila yakuba, 2264 nucleotides. RefSeq lists it as uncharacterized. The transcript has 2 exons. Lineage: Eukaryota; Metazoa; Arthropoda; Insecta; Diptera; Drosophilidae. The record is from RefSeq and is a predicted model, not a curated record.
UCGAAAAGGAGGAAAUUCUGUUUUGUGAUGAGGCUGACACUGGCCCAGUUAAUACCCAGCCGAAAAUGGUCUCUUGCCCCAAGAGAGAGCCACAGAUGUUGGUUUUUGCUCCACUCAGAAGUACCGAAGGCAGAAUGUCGGCUCCGAUAAGGACAUCUAUUUGUGCGCUCUCAUAGAAUUUUGGAUCCGCCAGUGGAAAACCGGAAAGAUCCCGAAGCAAAUCUUGCGGAAUUGGGUAGGAAGGCAGAUUUCCGGCUAGUUAAGGGAGGAUAUAGGCCGUCGUCUCCAACUGCAAUGCGGGCCUAGUCGUAGAUCGGACGGUGAGACUUGGGCUUGAACCACCUGGAAUGGCAAUCUGAUUAGAUUGAACAGUCACUCGGUUAUGAAUGUUGCCUCUGAUCCGGAGUCGAUCAGAGCGCGUGCCUUAAAGUUAGUGCCCAAAUGGGAAAAAUUGAUCACGGCAGUGCCAAGAAGGAUAGCUCUUGAGCCCGUGGCGAAAUAAUUUUGAACACCGGCAUGCUCAUUAGAAACGAAACGGCUUUAUUAGCAUAAAUUAGCCUUGCAGGAUUUGAAGGACUUGAAUUGCUGGAAAAGGGGUUGUUUCGGUGCAACAACGUGUGAUGCCGGUCACGGCAAGUAAAACAAUUGUGCGUGCUUUUGCACUCACGAAGCUGAUGUCCCUUUGCAAAGCAGAUUAAGGAUAACUGCUUCCUUUUAAUGUAGGCUGACCGGUCGUCAACCGACAUUUGGAGAAACCGCGGACAUACAUGGACAGGAUGGUUUUCCUUGUUGGACAGAUCGCAACUUUUGGAUUUUUGAGCCACUUUCGUCUCGUAGAAAUUUAUUUUUCUAGAGGGCCUACUUGAAUUUAUCGCUUUGGAGUGCGACUGACUUGGUACGGUCGGUCUGACAUCACCUAUGGCCUCUAGGGUUCGAUGGCGUUCUAUGAGGAAGGUGUUCAGCUCUACCCAUGUCGGGAUAUCGGCUUUCUUAUAAACUGCUCCCAUAAGGAGAGAGUUAUCUUCGGGAGGUUAGAUGAACACAGAUAUACCAGCAGGCAGUCCCAGUUCUCUAUGUUGAUGCCUGACAUUUCUAAGGCAGUCAAGCAACCUUGAACAGUACUUUGCAGUAUCUUCAAGGCCCCUCUAGAUUCCUGUGGUAUCGACUGCACAUAAAACAUGAUUUUCCAUUGACUGUUUACCAACAAUCGUUUAUUUUCGAAACGCUCUGUUAGGUUCUCCCACGCAGAUCGGAAACCCUCGUUGGUGAGAGGCGAAAUCGAAACGAUGGCAUGCGCGUCGCCACUUGUUUUGGCAUUUAUAUGCAAUAACUUUUCAACCGGAGUCAGCCGUGGAAUUUUGAUAUAAAUGGCUGUAAAAAGAUCCCGGAAAGUCUGCCAGCGAAGAUACUCACCUGCGAAAACUUCUGUAUCGCAUGGAGGCAAUCGACAGCCAGAGGAAAUACAGGCCUUGGCCGCAGCGUUCUGGGCUGGGAUGGACUGAGACGUGCCCUGUUCGAUUUUAUCAACGAGCUGGGCAACACCUUUCAUAGACUGAAUAGCAAUAACUGUAUUUAGCCCUGAGAAUAGGCAUGUUGCCUGCUACUGCUUCGCCUGCUGACACAAGGCACUCGGAGCAGAUGUCGAAUUCUGAAGUGGCGCUUGUCACAGUUUUGGGAUAGUCCGAAAGUAGCAUUAUCGGGGUUAGGAACUUGCUUUCAGUAUGGCCACCUACCCAUUAACCUAUAUCUACCAAUGCAGUCUGGGUUAGAACCCAGAUAGACGAAAUUGCAAGCUUACACUGUAAUAGAUAAAAAAACGCAACCUGGGCAUACUAGUGAACGCCAUGCCGGUCGUUCUCUUUCCGUUUUAACCUUGGAGGUGAUCAGACGUACAGGUGCGACCAACCAAAAAAACACACCCACGUUUUCUUGCUAAUUUUUUUUAUAUUUCGAUAUUCUUCGGUGAGUAAGUUUCUAAAGUGAAAUUCGCUUUUGCUAAUUAUUUUCGUCUUUAGUACCCAAGCCCAGAUUAGAAAUCCCAAAAAACUGUAUUUAAAUUUGGGGUUAUUUCGGUGCCAGAUCAAAGCUUCUGGCACCUUGUGCUACCCACAAGCAACCGCCGGCUCCAAGCCGUACCACCAGAGCAGCACGUCCAGCAGAGUAGCCGAUGCACAUCGAUCAUCAGAACAUCUCUUUUGGCCGCAGCCAUCGGAUGACCUAUGUUCAAGUGUUAUUAGUGUGAAUUAAUCUACCCCCCGCAAAAG